GAAAACGAAGUGGGAAGGCAUAGACAGUCAGGAAGUUGGCUUAGAAGCAGCCAUCCUUCAAAGAAAGCGUAAUAGCUCACUGAUCGAGUCGUCCUGCGCGGAAGAUGUAACGGGGCUCAAACCAUGCACCGAAGCUGCGGAUGUGCGUAAGCACAUGGUAGGGGAGCGUUCUGUAGGUCUGCGAAGGUGUGGUGUAAACCAUGCUGGAGAUAUCAGAAGUGCGAAUGCUGACAUGAGUAGCGAUAAAGGGUGUGAAAAGCACCCUCGCCGAAAGCCCAAGGUUUCCUGCGCAACGUUCAUCGGCGCAGGGUGAGUCGGCCCCUAAGGCGAGGCCGAAAGGCGUAGUCGAUGGGAAACGGGUCAAUAUUCCCGUACCGAUCACAGAUGCGAUGAGGGGACGGAGAAGGUUAGCUCAGCCGGGUGUUGGAUGUCCCGGUUUAAGCGUGUAGGCGUGCUGCAUAGGCAAAAUCCGUGCGGCUUAGCUGAGGCGUGAUGACGAGGU
RNAcentral lists this ribosomal RNA (502 nucleotides) under uncultured bacterium. RNAcentral's name for it is "bacterial LSU rRNA". It matches the Rfam family "Bacterial large subunit ribosomal RNA", at positions 1066 to 1575 of the family's 2925-position model. The record is from RNAcentral.